This is a long non-coding RNA of Anolis carolinensis (green anole), 1555 nucleotides long. RefSeq lists it as uncharacterized. The record is from RefSeq and is a predicted model, not a curated record. The transcript has 3 exons. Lineage: Eukaryota; Metazoa; Chordata; Lepidosauria; Squamata; Anolidae.
CUUUGUUUGCCCAUGCCAAGCAUAGCAGCAGCUCAUAUAUUUAUAUGUGCCCAAAAAGAUUUCAAGUGUGCAGCUAAUUUGAUUAGAUUAUUUCCCACUCUUAUAAUAGGAUCUCAGAUUUAUAUUUGUUAAGCUUUUGAGAUUAAUUCUUGGAGUACUGAAGCCAUACCAUGCCUGCAAAAGAACAUUUAAGCUCAGCCCGGCUGCCUUCCAUUGGGAGAAAGAACUUCAAGACAGUGCUAAGUCCUCCUGGCAUUCUGAGUGUGCCAGAUACCUUUGCAUGGAGGGUGAAAGGCAGCCACGUCUGUGAGAUGACUGUAUUUGGAGCACAACUACUGGAUGUGAAAUGGAAAUUGAGAUGAUGAAGCUAGUAUUAAAACAUUCAUGAAAAUGUAUUUUUCAGUGGCAGAGGCCUUCAGAAGGCAGAUCAGAUCUUGGUCAGUCUAAUACGAAGAUUUCAACCUUCUCUGUUUCUUCUCCCACAACAUGUUCUUUGAUUCCACCAAGUCUGAGGAAGAGCUCCAGAGAAUUUGAAACCCUGCACUUUUUAUGGGCUACUUUUGCUUUGUUUGGAGCUUUUUAUGCUCUUAUGAGGGUGUAAAUCUGGCUUCAAGCCCCUUAUGGCAACUCCAUUAAUUUCAUAAGGAAUUUUCAAAAGGGUGUUUUGCAUUGACUUCAUCUGCAAUAUAGACUACUGCAUCUGAUAUUCCUUGAUGGCCCCUCACCCAAACAAAAACCGGGCUGGACUCUCCUUAGCUCCAAUAUCAAAUAGGUUGUUGUCUUCAGGUAAUUUAGGUCUGUUUUUCAUGUUUUGUACUGACAUACCUUGACAUAGAGCUCCAUACCUAUGAUAAAAUCACCUACCCUCAAAUAGGUGAUAUGCCAAAAAUCCAAAAGCUUGAGUCAAUUUUUCUUACUUGUACAGCACUUAAGCCUUGAGACUGUCAAAUAAUAAAGUAGAAACUAGAAAAAAAUGAUGAGUAGUUCCCACAACUAACUUCUACCGUACUCAUAUCCAGAUAUUCAUGUAGGGGCUAUUGCAGACAAUAGUUAAUAUAUGCUUCUGAGAAGUCAUUGGUUUCCACCAGCGAAUUCUAAUUCAGCGGAAUUCAGUUGCAGUAUGAGGUCAUAAUGACUUUGAGCUAUUCUGCUAUCAUUCUGCUUCUGGAAUAGUUUGCACCUAAUAUUCCUUGAGUGGAACUCCCUUCAGAUCACAGAGCUUAUCCACAUCAUCCCCAUCCCUCAGAGCCCCUUAAACCUGAAGGUCAGUGGAGAGAAAACCUGAGAUGCAAGGAGAAUGUAGGAGAUGGACAAUCCGGUCCCCUGAUGUCACUAGCAUGCUGCCACAGAAGCACCCGGACCACACUGUACAAGAUGAACUUUUCCCCUUUAGGGAUUGGCUUGGAAAAGUUGUCCAUUCCAAAAGGUUGUCCAUUCCAAAAAGAGAAGUAAGCACCUGUAUGUCAAUCCACAGCAUGAAAAAAAAAGUCAAUUUAAAUAGAGCCAUUCAUUUUUCUUCGUCUUCUUCAAGUUACAAUAAAUCUUUUACAGCUUC